GGUUAAGCGACUAAGCGUACACGGUGGAUGCCCUGGCAGUCAGAGGCGAUGAAGGACGUGCUAAUCUGCGAUAAGCGUCGGUAAGGUGAUAUGAACCGUUAUAACCGGCGAUUUCCGAAUGGGGAAACCCAGUGUGUUUCGACACACUAUCAUUAACUGAAUCCAUAGGUUAAUGAGGCGAACCGGGGGAACUGAAACAUCUAAGUACCCCGAGGAAAAGAAAUCAACCGAGAUUCCCCCAGUAGCGGCGAGCGAACGGGGAGCAGCCCAGAGCCUGAAUCAGUGUGUGUGUUAGUGGAAGCGUCUGGAAAGGCGCGCGAUACAGGGUGACAGCCCCGUACACAAAAAUGCACAUAUUGUGAGCUCGAUGAGUAGGGCGGGACACGUGGUAUCCUGUCUGAAUAUGGGGGGACCAUCCUCCAAGGCUAAAUACUCCUGACUGACCGAUAGUGAACCAGUACCGUGAGGGAAAGGCGAAAAGAACCCCGGCGAGGGGAGUGAAAAAGAACCUGAAACCGUGUACGUACAAGCAGUGGGAGCCUCUUUUAUGGGGUGACUGCGUACCUUUUGUAUAAUGGGUCAGCGACUUAUAUUCUGUAGCAAGGUUAACCGAAUAGGGGAGCCGAAGGGAAACCGAGUCUUAACUGGGCGUUAAGUUGCAGGGUAUAGACCCGAAACCCGGUGAUCUAGCCAUGGGCAGGUUGAAGGUUGGGUAACACUAACUGGAGGACCGAACCGACUAAUGUUGAAAAAUUAGCGGAUGACUUGUGGCUGGGGGUGAAAGGCCAAUCAAACCGGGAGAUAGCUGGUUCUCCCCGAAAGCUAUUUAGGUAGCGCCUCGUGAAUUCAUCUCCGGGGGUAGAGCACUGUUUCGGCAAGGGGGUCAUCCCGACUUACCAACCCGAUGCAAACUGCGAAUACCGGAGAAUGUUAUCACGGGAGACACACGGCGGGUGCUAACGUCCGUCGUGAAGAGGGAAACAACCCAGACCGCCAGCUAAGGUCCCAAAGUCAUGGUUAAGUGGGAAACGAUGUGGGAAGGCCCAGACAGCCAGGAUGUUGGCUUAGAAGCAGCCAUCAUUUAAAGAAAGCGUAAUAGCUCACUGGUCGAGUCGGCCUGCGCGGAAGAUGUAACGGGGCUAAACCAUGCACCGAAGCUGCGGCAGCGACACUAUGUGUUGUUGGGUAGGGGAGCGUUCUGUAAGCCUGUGAAGGUGUGCUGUGAGGCAUGCUGGAGGUAUCAGAAGUGCGAAUGCUGACAUAAGUAACGAUAAAGCGGGUGAAAAGCCCGCUCGCCGGAAGACCAAGGGUUCCUGUCCAACGUUAAUCGGGGCAGGGUGAGUCGACCCCUAAGGCGAGGCCGAAAGGCGUAGUCGAUGGGAAACAGGUUAAUAUUCCUGUACUUGGUGUUACUGCGAAGGGGGGACGGAGAAGGCUAUGUUGGCCGGGCGACGGUUGUCCCGGUUUAAGCGUGUAGGCUGGUUUUCCAGGCAAAUCCGGAAAAUCAAGGCUGAGGCGUGAUGACGAGGCACUACGGUGCUGAAGCAACAAAUGCCCUGCUUCCAGGAAAAGCCUCUAAGCAUCAGGUAACAUCAAAUCGUACCCCAAACCGACACAGGUGGUCAGGUAGAGAAUACCAAGGCGCUUGAGAGAACUCGGGUGAAGGAACUAGGCAAAAUGGUGCCGUAACUUCGGGAGAAGGCACGCUGAUAUGUAGGUGAAGUCCCUUGCGGAUGGAGCUGAAAUCAGUCGAAGAUACCAGCUGGCUGCAACUGUUUAUUAAAAACACAGCACUGUGCAAACACGAAAGUGGACGUAUACGGUGUGACGCCUGCCCGGUGCCGGAAGGUUAAUUGAUGGGGUCAGCGCAAGCGAAGCUCUUGAUCGAAGCCCCGGUAAACGGCGGCCGUAACUAUAACGGUCCUAAGGUAGCGAAAUUCCUUGUCGGGUAAGUUCCGACCUGCACGAAUGGCGUAAUGAUGGCCAGGCUGUCUCCACCCGAGACUCAGUGAAAUUGAACUCGCUGUGAAGAUGCAGUGUACCCGCGGCAAGACGGAAAGACCCCGUGAACCUUUACUAUAGCUUGACACUGAACAUUGAGCCUUGAUGUGUAGGAUAGGUGGGAGGCUUAGAAGUGUGGACGCCAGUCUGCAUGGAGCCGACCUUGAAAUACCACCCUUUAAUGUUUGAUGUUCUAACGUUGACCCGUAAUCCGGGUUGCGGACAGUGUCUGGUGGGUAGUUUGACUGGGGCGGUCUCCUCCUAAAGAGUAACGGAGGAGCACGAAGGUUGGCUAAUCCUGGUCGGACAUCAGGAGGUUAGUGCAAUGGCAUAAGCCAGCUUGACUGCGAGCGUGACGGCGCGAGCAGGUGCGAAAGCAGGUCAUAGUGAUCCGGUGGUUCUGAAUGGAAGGGCCAUCGCUCAACGGAUAAAAGGUACUCCGGGGAUAACAGGCUGAUACCGCCCAAGAGUUCAUAUCGACGGCGGUGUUUGGCACCUCGAUGUCGGCUCAUCACAUCCUGGGGCUGAAGUAGGUCCCAAGGGUAUGGCUGUUCGCCAUUUAAAGUGGUACGCGAGCUGGGUUUAGAACGUCGUGAGACAGUUCGGUCCCUAUCUGCCGUGGGCGCUGGAGAACUGAGGGGGGCUGCUCCUAGUACGAGAGGACCGGAGUGGACGCAUCACUGGUGUUCGGGUUGUCAUGCCAAUGGCACUGCCCGGUAGCUAAAUGCGGAAGAGAUAAGUGCUGAAAGCAUCUAAGCACGAAACUUGCCCCGAGAUGAGUUCUCCCUGACCCUUUAAGGGUCCUGAAGGAACGUUGAAGACGACGACGUUGAUAGGCCGGGUGUGUAAGCGCAGCGAUGCGUUGAGCUAACCGGUACUAAUGAACCGUGAGGCUUAACCUU
This 2903-nucleotide ribosomal RNA is filed under the name Escherichia coli. RNAcentral's name for it is "23S ribosomal RNA". It matches the Rfam family "Bacterial large subunit ribosomal RNA". Lineage: Bacteria; Pseudomonadati; Pseudomonadota; Gammaproteobacteria; Enterobacterales; Enterobacteriaceae. The record is from RNAcentral.